UCCUCCAUAUUCUCCGUUUUUCUAAAUUGAAACCUGCUUCUUUAUAUAUUUUUUUCAAGAAAAUUGUGUUUAAUCAUUAUAUCUAUUACUUAAUCUAUCCUUUUAAAUAUAUCAUGGUGUAUCUCCGAUGGUGAUUUAAUGGUGGUAUAUACGACAGCAACAAUAAUGGAGGAGAUGUUGGCGACUUUGACGAAGACGAUGGCGGAGACAUAGUCGACGGCAAAGACAACGUAGAAGACUCAUCCCCAACCAUAAACCAGACUGUAAGAAUCAAGAAAUUCAUCCACCAUGGCGCUUUCACAUGGGACAUCGCCAAAGUUAAGGUUCCUCCACAAUAGCACCUUCACAUGGAACACCGCCAAAAAAUUCAUCCCCAUCGCCAUGUCUUCUACCUAACAAUUUUUACACACAGUCCUCCUUUUCUGAGUUGGACAGAACUGAAAGGUCAUAAGCUUCACGGUGUUGUCGUUUCUGUCCGAAGGUUCUUACGGUUUUAGAAAGAUUUCAGUCGUUUGUAAGUUGCUUUGGCCAUUUGUAAAAUAUUCUGUGAAACAAUUUCGGAGUUAAUGGCAACUUUAAUUGUGAAAAUGAUGAAUUUAGUUUGAUGAUAUAUGCUUCACCUUACGGCUAGUUUGUGCUUUUUGUGGAUGAGUUUUGUUUUGUUACUAAUUAUUAUAAUCUUUUCUUUUACAUGAUGUUAGAUCUUGGCUUGAAAAGAUAAACUUUGGGAGCUACAUCUAGAUUUUUCAAAAUAAAAAGUUUUUUAGAGAGGUAAUGGUAGUAGUCUUUGUGGUAUCCUUUGUUCUUUAUUUAUUUAUUUUUUCUUUAUUAGAUUUGAGAAUUGGUUAUGUCUUUGGUUAGAUUGAGCUUGAGAAUCCAAUUGAGAACAUUGGAGCUAUGAUAGUGAGACAAGCUGCUUUCAAACUAAUGACAUGGUUGGUGAUGAAACAAUGACUUUGGUUGUUCUUGUGCUAGGUCUCAUGCUGAAAGUGUAACAAUUUGCAAUUGGUGUACACAUUGUUCUUUUAAAACGAUGUACAUGUCGAUGUUUUGUAUCGGUGUGCACUUUGUUUUUUUAAACAGAUGUACAUGUCGAGCCAAGAUCGUGUACACGUGGCCAUUCAAUCAUCGUGUACAUUAUGUACAUAUAAAUGUUAAUAAAUGUUAUCAACUAUUGCAACGC
RNAcentral lists this long non-coding RNA (1183 nucleotides) under Brassica napus (rape). RNAcentral's name for it is "long non-coding RNA (BNAP_LNC015409)". Lineage: Eukaryota; Viridiplantae; Streptophyta; Magnoliopsida; Brassicales; Brassicaceae. The record is from RNAcentral.